GAGUCAAAUUGGUUUAUCUCAUUUUGCUUUUCCUUUUUUUUUUUGUUGGGUUGGUGUUGGCCCAAAUUGCUCGGCUGUCUAGGUGAAUCAAAGAGGAAAAUGUUUUCUUAUCUCUCUCCAGGCUGCCUUUCGUUCAAAAAAUGAGGAGAAGGGGAUCUCGCCUCUUUCUCCUUCAUCGCUCUUCCCGUUCGAGCAGAAUACGGCGGCCGUCGCCGUUUUUACUGCCGGCGAAGUUCAGAUCGCCAGACGGAGGUCGAGACCUAACGGCGAUUUCGCCGGAGGUCAAAACUAAAAGGAGUGAUUAUCUCCCUCUCUUUGAGUAUCAUCCCGACUCGAUUUGGCUUGGUUUUUCAUGGGGUGUCGCCAGAGUUUGUAGAGCCGGUAAAUGGGACUGGGGGCGAUGAGUCCGAUGAGCCUUGACGGCGGUGUCUGCCGCUGCUUGAUUCGAGAAGAGGGGGCCGUUCGACGGCCCGCGCCCGUGGGGGAGAAGAGUUCUGGGAUGGAGGCGGCGCCAAUGCUUCUCGCCGUUUGUCAAGGAAGGACUUAACGGUUGCAGCCUGAAGAUCAAGGGUUCAGGGGCAGCGGUGACGUGGGGUUUGCGUCGUUAUGGUGGUCGUGUAAGGAAUUUCCCUAUACUUGAAUGGGAAGUACUUGUUUUUCUGAUUUGCUGCACUUUCGGUUUCUUUUGCGCCGUUUGGCAGUCGAGUGGUUAAGGAGACAAACUUGAAAUCCGUUGGGCUUCAAGAAUUUGGUGGCUGGAGAAGCCAGGUGCGCGGCGACGGCGUGGUAGACAGAGACGAGUCGCGCGGUGGCGUGGCGUUGCCGGAGGCCGUAGCUGAUUUGUGUGGCGUUUCGCGUAAGCUUGUGCGGAGGGCGAGGGUGGCCUUGGGACGCAAUCGUUGUUUGUCCAGCGACUUCAGCAUCUCCACAACCGGCGACUGCUAUCUACCUGAGCAGUUGGCUCGAAGCGCGCGAUGGCGUUGCGAUGUCGCCGACUGCCAGAGUCUUCGAAGGAAUUGCUUACAUCUCACUCUGUCUCUUUUUAUCUCUCAUCUUGUUUAUCUGUGAGGGAGCGAGCAGCACAAAGUAAGCAAGGGGAGCCUUUUGAACUGGUUUUGUGCUCUCUUGAGGUGGAAUUUUGCUCGAAAAGGAAGGGCAGAGGAAAAAGAUAGAUUUGAGAGAAAGCUAUAGGCCUCUUUUUGUAUAAGGUGAUGGUCAAUGGAUUGCAUCCCACCUUUCACAAUUCUUCGUAUUUGUAAAUCGGUCGUGCGUUUUUGUGCUAACAGAUUAUUUCCCAUGAAUUCUCAUUUUUUCAAGUUGUAUGUGUAUGGCCCGAUUUUCCAUGUAAUGCUAACUUUAAGUUGCUAGUUUGUGGAAACAGAAUCUUUGUUCUUACGCCAUAUAUCAAUGUUUAAGUAAGAUGCUUGGCUUUUUUGCUCCA
Molecule: long non-coding RNA, 1441 nt
Organism: Salvia miltiorrhiza (redroot sage)
Lineage: Eukaryota; Viridiplantae; Streptophyta; Magnoliopsida; Lamiales; Lamiaceae
Exons: 3
Source: RefSeq, a predicted model, not a curated record